CAGUUUCCCCCCACUUAGUAGUAUGAUGCUGCGACGCCGCGUGAGGGAUGACGGCCUUCGGGUUGUAAACCUCUUUAAGAGGGGAAGAAGGCCUUUCGGGGUUGACGGUACCUGCAGAAGAAGCGCCGGCUAACUACGUGCCAGCAGCCGCGGUAAUACGUAGGGCGCAAGCGUUGUCCGGAAUUAUUGGGCGUAAAGAGCUCGUAGGCGGCCUGUCGCGUCUGCUGUGAAAGCCCGGGGCUCAACCCCGGGUCUGCAGUGGGUACGGGCAGGCUGGAGUGCGGUAGGGGAGACUGGAAUUCCUGGUGUAGCGGUGGAAUGCGCAGAUAUCAGGAGGAACACCGGUGGCGAAGGCGGGUCUCUGGGCCGUUACUGACGCUGUGGAGCGAAAGCAUGGGGAGCGAACAGGAUUAGAUACCCUGGUAGUCCAUGCCGUAAACGUUGGGCACUAGGUGUGGGGCCCAUUCCACGGGUUCCGUGCCGUAGCUAACGCAUUAAGUGCCCCGCCUGGGGAGUACGGCCGCAAGGCUAAAACUCAAAGGAAUUGACGGGG
Molecule: ribosomal RNA, 553 nt
Filed under: Georgenia sp. H7
Lineage: Bacteria; Bacillati; Actinomycetota; Actinomycetes; Allobogoriellales; Allobogoriellaceae
Description: bacterial SSU rRNA
Rfam family: Bacterial small subunit ribosomal RNA
Source: RNAcentral